GGAUUCGAGGGAUCUUCUUCCGGAAACGGUUUCCAAGUAACUGCGGUUAAGAUGACACACCUCGUCCCCGCGAUCAACGUUCAUUUAAACCGUAGUUAGCCUGAGAAAAAGGGCGGCCGAUUAGGGCUUGCUGGGAGAAAACGAAGAAGAGAACCUGGGUUGUCGUUCUUGAUUCGCAUCGAUUUCACCAUCUGAUGAAUUGGGUGUUGCUUUGGUGAUUUGUUCGGAGAUGGAGACCCAGUGGAUGGCCGAAUUCCCGCACGCGGCCACGGACAAGCGCCCGCGGAAGAGGCCCAGGUUCACUUGGGAUGUGCCCCCUCCGAUCCCCCCCGCAAUGGUCUUUCUUCCCGUUCCUGUGACGUUGUACUGCGGAAAGGAAGCUGCCCAUGUAGCUGGUGCCAACCAGUUAUUGCAAUCAUUCUACCAUGGUGGAGUCCCUCGAUAUGCAUCUCCUCCCUGGAGGGGCGACAACAAAGACGGCCAUUAUAUUUUUAGCAUCGGCGAGAAUCUAACACCGAGAUAUAGGAUACUGAACAAAAUGGGUGAAGGAACAUUUGGGCAAGUCUUGGAAUGUUGGGACUUGGAAAAUCAAGAACCAGUUGCUAUCAAAAUUGUGCGUUCGCUUCAGAAAUAUCGUGAUGCUGCAAUGAUCGAAAUUGACGUACUUCAAAGGCUUGCAAAAGCUGACAGAAGUGGCACUCGUUGUGUGCAAAUACGGAAUUGGUUUGACUAUCGUAAUCAUAUAUGUAUAGUCUUUGAGAAGCUUGGACCAAGUUUGUAUGACUUCCUUCGGAAAAAUAGCUACCGCUCUUUCCCCAUUGACUUAGUCCGGGAACUUGGGAGACAGCUUUUGGAGUCUGUAGCAUUUAUGCAUGAGUUGCAGCUAAUUCACACUGACUUGAAGCCAGAGAACAUUCUUCUUGUCUCCUCUGAAUACGUUAAGGUUCCUGAUUACAAGGUUCUGUCAUGGUCAACCAAAAGUGGUUUAUUUUUCAUGAAUCUCCCAAAAACUAGUGCAAUCAAGCUUAUAGACUUUGGAAGUACAACAUUUGAACAUCAGGACCACAGUUACGUGGUCUCAACUAGGCAUUACCGUGCACCUGAGGUUAUUCUUGGGCUUGGGUGGAAUUAUCCCUGUGAUAUGUGGAGCGUGGGUUGCAUUCUUGUUGAACUUUGCUCGGGGGAGGCACUUUUUCAAACCCAUGAAAACUUGGAGCAUUUGGCUAUGAUGGAGAGGGUGUUAGGACCACUUCCUCAGCAUAUGGUCAUCAGAGCUGACCGGCAUGCAGAGAAAUAUUUCAGGCAAGGUAGAGGAGUGCGAUUAGACUGGCCUGAAGGGGCAACCUCAAGGGAAAGUAUUAGAGCAGUUUGGAAAUUGCCUCGUCUUCAGAACUUGGUAAUGCAGCAUGUUGAUCAUUCUGCUGGGGAUUUAAUUGAUCUCCUGCAAGGGCUUCUCCGCUAUGAUCCGACGGAGCGUCUAAAAGCGCAAGAAGCCCUUAGACACCCCUUCUUUACCAGAGUGUGGAGAAGAUGUGGUUAUUCUUUGAACUAAGGGCUUCACCCUUCUUUCUUAAAUCAAGUAUGUAAGUGAAUUAUUAGAAAGAGACACGUGUCUUAGCUGAACCUGCAGACUUCAUGGACAGGAAGUUGCUGCUGUACAGGGAACACAAGUUUCAGUUGUGCAUGUGUCUCCUGUGGUUGCAAUUUAGAGAAGGGACUGGAUGAAAGGUAUGAAAGGAAGUUCUAAUAAUAUGGUCACAUCUUUUUGUGAUCUGAGCAAACUUGAGCUCAGUAUUGCUGGCAUCCUUUUAUCUGAAUAACCAGCCGUUGGCUCAAGGCAGAUGGAAUAUAUUGGUUUCAAGCACAAUAUAAAUAAAUGUGCCUAGAGGCUGGAAUCGCUAGUAUGCUCCUUAUUGAGUAUGAUAUCAUAAUUGUGUUUGCGUUGGCAGCUGGUGUUGAACUAUUCACUUAAUUUUGCGUGGCUACCAUAUAUUUUAUCAUCUUAAUAUUCUAAUUGACAUAUUUUAUUUUGUUCAGUUCAUACAGAAUUUUGUUCUAGUGCUUGUAUAUUCAUACUCAUGCAGGAGCCGCAGCUUGCUGAUGAUUUAGUUCUUGAAGGUAUGUAAUUUAAUACAAUGAUUUAGUUCUUGAAGGUAUGUAAUUUAAUACAAAUUGUUCUUGGUAGAACGAUAAUUUUGCUGCUACUACAGAAUUUUUAGUUUGCAUUGUUAAAUUAAAAUGAUCCUCAUCCCGAUACUCUGAUGAGCUACAAGAUCCUUUUUCUUUGUGUUAUACUGGCCCUCCAUCAAAAUGAAGUUUUCACAUAGAACUUGAUUUCUGCUGCUGAGAUUUUUUUAGCAUAAAUAGUAUGUUUUACUCUGAACAUCUUGAGCAAGAACAAGAUGGAAUGAAGACAUUUGCUGUGUUGCCAGCGAUUCGGCCAAGAUGAACUGUUGCACUGUGGCUGGCAUUUGACACUUCACAGGAACAACCCUUGGUUUCGAUUAUUGUCUUGAUGUAAUUGUAGAUGUGAGGAUUUCUCUUUAUGUAAGAGAAGUCUCUUGAAGCCACGCUGGAUAUACCAGGUAAAAGCCUCCUACUUGAUUAAAGAUGUACUUCUUCAACAAAUGAUUUGUACAGCAUUAUGUGGCCUGUGUUUCCUUAGAACUUUCUUUGUCCUCUUAAUUGAACAGAAUUGUGAGACUGACUCAGGUGUUUCAGUGAGGAACCUAAAACUGAAAGCUGUUCACCUUAGAGCUAAAUUUUUAUUUUGAUCAUUUGCCCAUCUUACUCAGGAUUCAUGUUUUAUAUGAAGGCUGAUGAGGAUUUAAUGAUGCAAAUUUGAGCUUCAGAUUCUUUCAGAUGAUGUAGAUGUUUGACAUCCAAAAUCUUCAUGUUUGUAACAGGGGUGGCCUGCUGCCUAAGCAUCUGUGCUUAGGAUGCUGUAAAUUGAAGCAUGAUUCAGAGAAGUUGAAGCGCAGAUGAUCUUAACUCAUCCAUUUAUUUCCAUCAAUCCUAUGGUUGAAGGUUAGCAGCCUUUCACAGAGGUUAUAAUAAUUAUGCUCAGGAAGAAUCACAAAAGUUGCUUGUAAGUGUGGUUCUCUCGAAGUAGCGUGUCAAACUUGGAUAAAGAGAGAGCGAGUACGCCUGUGGUUGGUGGCUCGCUUGUCAAUCGCAUGAUCGAGAUGCAUCAUUUGUCACUGUAAAGUGACUGUAUCUUCCUUUUUCUUCUCCUGAAGUGUUUACGCAGAGAUUCUAAGGUUAGGUUCUAAGAUUGAUUUUUCUUUUUUUCGUAUUUAUUUAUUUAUUAUUUUUAUAAGAAAUAAGGACAUGCAACUCAUCCCUGUAUUAAGUAUAAUUUUUUGUACGACUAGUGACAAGAGACAGGUCAAGAGUUAAUAAUUGCUUCAUGUGAUUGGUCUUAA
RNA transcript from Musa acuminata AAA Group (dessert banana), 3425 nucleotides. It is a transcript of the gene named serine/threonine-protein kinase AFC1-like, with no coding region annotated. The record is from RefSeq and is a predicted model, not a curated record. The transcript has 13 exons. Lineage: Eukaryota; Viridiplantae; Streptophyta; Magnoliopsida; Zingiberales; Musaceae.